Orcinus orca (killer whale) is the source of this 2180-nucleotide long non-coding RNA. RefSeq lists it as uncharacterized. The record is from RefSeq and is a predicted model, not a curated record. Lineage: Eukaryota; Metazoa; Chordata; Mammalia; Artiodactyla; Delphinidae. The transcript has 3 exons.
UUUGGUCUCACUUACUGUUUGUGGACGAAGCUUUUCAUUCAGGGAAACAUUCUGCAUAAUCUUACAGCCGGGGUGUCUCGCACAAGAUGUCCUUGCAACGUGACCAGGCUGGGGGCCCCACGCCUUCUAAGUCCAGGUUAAGACCAAGUCCUGCUACCCGCAACUCCUUCUCUUCCCCUGCGCUUGGCACCUCCGUCUGGAUGGGUCAUCUGGUGAACCCAGGUAAUUGCAGGAACCGAGGCCCAGCCCUCAGCUGAAUGGGCCUGCCUCGUCUGUUUACCUGCAGCCACUGUAGUCUUCUUGGACGGUCUGGAACUUGGAAUAGGUGGGCCACUGCUGCCUUCUAGGACCUGGAAAGGGCUACAGAGAGCACCUCCCAGACAGACGGGCACUGCACACGAAGCCAAGCAGCUCCUUUGCAGCAUUAACCUCGUGUGUGACAAGUGGACACACCGCAAGCUGUCACGCCACCAUGGGCAGGUCCCUCAGGGCCUGUCAGGAGGAGACUGAGGCUCGGAAAGAUGGAGCGACAUGGCCACCAAGAGGGCAAGCCAGGGCUCCAGCUUGUGUCUUGUGGCUCCAGGUCUGUGUGCCUUUUACCCCGCCAGAAAGCCCCGGUUAUAAGUGACGAGCACGGUUCCUGGACAAACUGCUUCACUGGAAUUCAGUCCUGGAGAAGAAAAAUGGCCCCUGCGAUGGGUUUACUGGGUCCUGGAAUCUGCGUGGCCUGUGUGAUCCAGCCUCGUGAGCAACCCUCCCGCUCGUGUUGUGUUCCUGGAUUAGGGGUGAUUGAUGCCAGCUGAGGUUCCCACCGAGGCUCCGUGCACAGCGAGUCAGGAUCAAGGGAACCCAAUAUGAAAACUGUUACAAAGCCUUUCAGUGAAUUCCAGAGCAGAACUCACACCAUACAAAAUACCAAUUUCCCUUAAGAUAAGGGCAGCUGUCUCAAAUCCUUUUUGGAAUAAGUGGUCACACCGAUUACUGGACUCCCCAGCGCUGCCACCGGGACAAGCUUCAGAGAGCUGUCAGGGACACGGCCACGCCAGCAGAUCGUCCAGCCGCCUGUCACGGCCUCGGUGCCCAGAGCUGCCAUAUUUCGUUCCCGACCCCAGCCAUUCUGAUCAGAGCAGGGGUGGGGGACAGCUGGCCCAAGGGAAUAAGACAGAAAUGAUGGGGAAAGCAACCGAGUGGGAGCCACAGCAGCAGCUGUAGGAGAGGAGAAGGGAGAGCCUGGGGGCGACAGACAGAGCAAGCUCGGCGGAGAGCCAAGGGCUUUCUGAGCCCAUCCGCUCUGGGCACUGCUGACCCAGCUUCCCUUGAGCACCUGCGCUGGUAGCCAUUGUCCUGAGGAGACUGAAGCAUCUCUGUGUCCUCUGCAUCUCCCAGGACACUGGGGACCUGGAAAUUCAUUACUAUAAGAACCUCCUCCGUAGCUGUUGGAUGCUCUGGUGUUAAGGGCUGAAUUGUGUCCCCCUAAAAUCGUCUGUUGAAGUCUUAACCCUCAGUACCUCAGAAUGGGACCUUAUUUGAAGGUAUGGUCUUCAUAGAGGCCAUCAAGUCAAAAUGAGGUCAUUAGGGCGGAUCCUAAUCCAGUCUGACUGGUGUCCUUAUAAAAAGGGGGAACGUGGACACACACACAGAAAGAAUGCCAUGUGAAUGUGGAGACGGCCAUCUACAAGCCAGAGAGGGAGGCCUGGAAUGGACUCUUCCCCAAAGCCCUCAGGAGGGACCAGCCCUGCCCACACCCCUCCAUCUCAGACUUCUAGACUCCAGAACCGCGAGACAAUAAAUGUCCGUUGUUUAAACUGGCCUUUCUGUGUGCUCUGCUCUGGCAGCCCCAGGACACUGACACAGCUGGUAGGGUCCUCUGCCUGGCCCAGGGGCCCUAAAACCAGCACAGUCCCGCAUCUGCAACCACUUCAAUUCCAGCCCUUUAAUCUCUGGUCCCCAAAUGAAACCUUUGCUUUCGUGUUUUAUUUUAUUUUGUUUUAAACAUUUUGGGACGACUGUAUCUGCAAUUUUAAAAGUUCGUAAAAAUAGUUUUCUAUUAAAAGGCAGAGGCUCCUGGCCUCUUGCCUUCCCAGAUCUGUUCCACUGCCCAGAGUCAAAGGGCUCUAAUCGUUCCAGUAAUUAGCUGUCGGGGGCCGGCAUGUCUGAGCAGAGUACUGACUUGUUCUCUG